GGUUAGAUAACAUCGCUCCGAAUAGCAAUGCAUUGGCUAAACUCGAUUUUUCUGAUUUUCGUAAUAUAUCUUGGUAAUUUUAUGAAGCUUUGCGUAUUUGCUCAAAAUGGACAGCCCCCUAACGAUGGAUUGGUUUUUGGAUCCCUAGCGGCUAAUACAACAAAUAAUGCAAAUCCAAAGACAACCAAUAACGAAGGAUCAAAGAUUCCAGUUGAAGCACGGUUUUGAACAGUUCAACUACCAAUGAAUAAUUUGAAACAAAUUAUUAAUUUUAUAAUGAUACAUAUGUUUUGCAAUUCCAGAUCGUGAAUCGGUAAUACUUGAUAACAGUUCGUGAGAUAAAAGUAAUAAACGACCUACAAUAUAUACCAGAAAAA
Molecule: long non-coding RNA, 377 nt
Organism: Armigeres subalbatus
Lineage: Eukaryota; Metazoa; Arthropoda; Insecta; Diptera; Culicidae
Exons: 2
Source: RefSeq, a predicted model, not a curated record